This 477-nucleotide ribosomal RNA is filed under the name uncultured bacterium. RNAcentral describes it as "partial 16S ribosomal RNA". It matches the Rfam family "Bacterial small subunit ribosomal RNA", at positions 28 to 506 of the family's 1533-position model. The record is from RNAcentral.
GACGAACGCUGGUGGCGUGCUUAACACAUGCAAGUCGAACGGGAUUUAGUAAACAGAAGCCUCGGUGGAAGAUUACUAAUGAGAGUGGCGAACGGGUGAGUAACGCGUGAGCAACCUGCCUAUGACAGUGGGAUAGCCUCGGGAAACCGGGAUUAAUACCGCAUAAAAUCGUAGAAACACAUGUUUUAACGGUCAAAGAUUUAUCGGUCAUAGAUGGGCUCGCGUCUGAUUAGCUAGUUGGUGAGAUAACAGCCCACCAAGGCGACGAUCAGUAGCCGGUCUGAGAGGAUGAACGGCCACAUUGGAACUGAGACACGGUCCAAACUCCUACGGGAGGCAGCAGUGGGGAAUAUUGCACAAUGGGGGAAACCCUGAUGCAGCGACGCCGCGUGAACGAAGAAGGUAUUCGUAUCGUAAAGUUCUGUCCUAUGGGAAGGUAAUGACAGUACCAUAGAAGAAAGCUCCGGCUAAAUACGU